Molecule: unclassified non-coding RNA, 258 nt
Filed under: uncultured fungus
Lineage: Eukaryota; Fungi
Description: partial contains 5.8S ribosomal RNA, internal transcribed spacer 2, and large subunit ribosomal RNA
Rfam family: 5.8S ribosomal RNA (bases 1-52)
Source: RNAcentral
AACGCACAUUGCGCCCGCCAGUAUUCUGGCGGGCAUGCCUGUCCGAGCGUCAUUUCAACACUCAAGCCCAGCUUGGUGUUGGGGAUCGGCCGCAGCGUACACCGCCGCGGCCGGCCCCGAAAUUCAGUGGCGGCCUCGCUGUAGCGUCUCCUGCGUAGUAGAAAUAUCUCGCAGUCGACCGCGGCGACGGCCCCGCCGUAAAACCCCCAACUUUCUGACGUUGACCUCGGAUCAGGUAGGAAUACCCGCUGAACUUAA